CUAAUACAUGCAAGUCGAACGCUUUUCUUUCACCGGAGCUUGCUCCACCGAAAGAAAAGGAGUGGCGAACGGGUGAGUAACACGUGGGUAACCUGCCCAUCAGAAGGGGAUAACACUUGGAAACAGGUGCUAAUACCGUAUAACAAUCGAAACCGCAUGGUUUCGGUUUGAAAGGCGCUUUUGCGUCACUGAUGGAUGGACCCGCGGUGCAUUAGCUAGUUGGUGAGGUAACGGCUCACCAAGGCAACGAUGCAUAGCCGACCUGAGAGGGUGAUCGGCCACAUUGGGACUGAGACACGGCCCAAACUCCUACGGGAGGCAGCAGUAGGGAAUCUUCGGCAAUGGACGCAAGUCUGACCGAGCAACGCCGCGUGAGUGAAGAAGGUUUUCGGAUCGUAAAACUCUGUUGUUAGAGAAGAACAAGGAUGAGAGUAAAAUGUUCAUCCCUUGACGGUAUCUAACCAGAAAGCCACGGCUAACUACGUGCCAGCAGCCGCGGUAAUACGUAGGUGGCAAGCG
RNAcentral lists this ribosomal RNA (519 nucleotides) under uncultured Bacilli bacterium. Its description in RNAcentral is "bacterial SSU rRNA". It matches the Rfam family "Bacterial small subunit ribosomal RNA", at positions 48 to 540 of the family's 1533-position model. Lineage: Bacteria; Bacillati; Bacillota; Bacilli. The record is from RNAcentral.